AGUUUCUGCAGUUUGUCAGAAAGCAGCUGUAGUUUCUUGGCUUCCGCUUUGAAGUCCAACCCCUCUUAUCUGAGAGAUCUGGACCUGAGUUACAACAAGCUGAAGGAUUCAGGAGUGAAGCUGUUGUCUGCUCGACUGAGUCCAUACUGUAGACUGGAGACUCUGAGAUUAACUGACUGCUGGCUGUCAGAUAGCUGCUGUUCGUCUCUGGCCUCUGCUCUGAACACCUCCCACCUGAGAGAGCCAGACCAACAGAGUGGAGCUGCUGUCUGCUGGACAGGACAGUCAGUCAGGGCGAGAGAAAACAUGAAUGCCGGCGGCGGCUUUUAAAAAUUUUUCCAAAGAAACUCAGUCUCACUCCGACAACAUUUCAGAGGAAAUCGCUCUAUAAGGAACUUUUGGAAGACAAAAUAUUGCUCCAAGACUUCCUAAAGAAUCACAGCAUUAUUGUUCAAAGGCAAACUGCGGACUGAAAGUAGACGAUAGGGCAGGAAAUUCGGGGGAAUAGGAUGAAACGUUUUAGAGCCUUCAGAUUGUCUGGUUUAUCUCAAAGUGGACUCAUCAUCCACUCAAUGUGUCACUUUCAUUAUCACACCUUCUGUCUGGUUUCAUUACCUGUUAUAUGAACUGUAAAUGAGUUACGUUUGUGUGUUUUAUUUACAGACAAACAUUGGCUGUCAUUUGUUUUGUUGUUUCUGUAAUUUGUUCUAAUUUUCUUGUUUCCCAGAAGCACCUGCAAACGAGUGUCUACUUAUUGAACCUCCAACAAAACCUCUUGAGAGUGAUAAAGGCUCUAAUUAAAUGUGAACUUAAACCUUUGUUACCAUUGAAUUGUGAACACAUGCACAUGACAAUACACAUGACAUCUUAUGACAAAAAGGGCAUAAAAACAUAAAAAAUAUUUUAAAAAAAUAAUAAAAACUUUAUAUCUAUGGUUAGGUCUGAAGU
Molecule: long non-coding RNA, 948 nt
Organism: Morone saxatilis (striped sea-bass)
Lineage: Eukaryota; Metazoa; Chordata; Actinopteri; Moronidae
Exons: 4
Source: RefSeq, a predicted model, not a curated record